GAUGAACGCUAGCUACAGGCUUAACACAUGCAAGUCGAGGGGAAACGAUAUUGGAAGCUUGCUUCUGAUAGGCGUCGACCGGCGCACGGGUGAGUAACGCGUAUCCAACCUGCCCAUCACUUGGGGAUAACCUUGCGAAAGUAAGACUAAUACCCAAUGACGUCUCUAGAAGACAUCUGAAAGAGAUUAAAGAUUUAUCGGUGAUGGAUGGGGAUGCGUCUGAUUAGCUUGUUGGCGGGGUAACGGCCCACCAAGGCGACGAUCAGUAGGGGUUCUGAGAGGAAGGUCCCCCCACAUUGGAACUGAGACACGGUCCAAACUCCUACGGGAGGCAGCAGUGAGGAAUAUUGGUCAAUGGGCGAGAGCCUGAACCAGCCAAGUAGCGUGAGGGAUGAAGGCUCUAGUGGGUCGUAAACCUUCUUUUAUAGUGGGAAUUAAACGUUUUCCACGUUGUGGUAAUUUUUGUAUGUACCAUA
RNAcentral lists this ribosomal RNA (476 nucleotides) under uncultured bacterium. RNAcentral describes it as "bacterial SSU rRNA". It matches the Rfam family "Bacterial small subunit ribosomal RNA", at positions 28 to 482 of the family's 1533-position model. The record is from RNAcentral.